Molecule: ribosomal RNA, 272 nt
Filed under: Escherichia coli
Lineage: Bacteria; Pseudomonadati; Pseudomonadota; Gammaproteobacteria; Enterobacterales; Enterobacteriaceae
Description: partial 16S ribosomal RNA
Rfam family: Bacterial small subunit ribosomal RNA
Source: RNAcentral
AAAUUGAAGAGUUUGAUCAUGGCUCAGAUUGAACGCUGGCGGCAGGCCUAACACAUGCAAGUCGAACGGUAACAGGAAACAGCUUGCUGUUUCGCUGACGAGUGGCGGACGGGUGAGUAAUGUCUGGGAAACUGCCUGAUGGAGGGGGAUAACUACUGGAAACGGUAGCUAAUACCGCAUAACGUCGCAAGACCAAAGAGGGGGACCUUCUGGCCUCUUGCCAUCGGAUGUGCCCAGAUGGGAUUAGCUUGUUGGUGGGGUAACGGCUCACC